Molecule: long non-coding RNA, 1948 nt
Organism: Prosopis cineraria
Lineage: Eukaryota; Viridiplantae; Streptophyta; Magnoliopsida; Fabales; Fabaceae
Exons: 4
Source: RefSeq, a predicted model, not a curated record
UCUUGUGAGUUAUACUAUGGUUGCAAGCACCCAUUGAAACUUGUGAUUUUUAGUUGGAAAUCUCAAGUAUAAUCUUGAGGACUAAACGUAGACCAAGUUUUAGGCUGUACCAGUAUAAAUCUCAUAUAUAUUAUCUCUUUCCUCCUUGCACAAGUCUUUCCUACUCUUUAACCUUUUAAGAAAUUUUUAAUGUCACCUAAUUCACCCCCCUCUUGGGUGCCAGCCUAUCCAACUGCUGCAACUUAUCAUCAUUUUACCCCGUCUCUUUCUCCUCCUCAUUAAAGUCUUCACUCUCCCUCUGCACUUCUCAUUAUCUCCCCAUCUACCUCUUCACUUCCAAACCCAAAAAUAAAACUUGAUUGAAAACAAAACAAGGAAUUUGGGAUUGUGAUGUGAUCAAAGAACAAGAUUGAAUAAAUCUAAAAAUCAACAAAACCAAAAAUAAAAAAUCAAAUGAAAGAAUUGAGCAAGAUAACCUAGAUAAAUACUCAAUCAAACACAAGUUUAACAAUUAUAUAACUAACAAACCUAGAAAUCAAAAGCAAGAAAAAAAAAACCCAAAACCUUAUUCAGCUAUCCAGGUGCGAUAUCCAUAUCAACAUCUACCAUGGCUGUGACCAAGAACUGAGAAUUGAAGAGUGGAGAAGGGGAAAUCAAGAUUUAAAUUCAAAUUCAAAACUACCCAAAUCAAUCCCAAAAAUCAAAAACCACUAUCAAAAUUCAUCCAUAGCAAUCAAGCCAAAAAUUCACCCACGUCAGAGAACAAAAGAACUACUAUCAAAAGUAAAGCUAGAAAUCAAAAUCAAAAUAUUUAAAGAGUACAAUCUAUAAGCAAUGAUACAAACAUAGUUUCUCAACAGCAAUCAAAAUCCAUCAACAAAAUCAAAGAAAAAUAAAAGGCAAUUAAACCACUAUUGUAAUAACCCUAACAAAAUUUAAACUGAAUAAAUAAAUAAAUAUAUAUAUAGGGUAACUUACUUAAAGUGGGUUUAUAUUAGUUUUUGGGAUAAAUAUAGCAAGUCAGAGACUUGGUCUAGUGGCAGCUGAGGAAGGCUUCAUAUAACAGGUCCCCAGUUCGAAUCCGGAAGAGUACAAAAGAAGAGUUAAAAUUUUUUUUUAUUUUUCUGGUCAUGCAAAAUUACCAUAUUACCAUUGGUUUCAUCAGAUUUUUUUUAAAACUCUUUCUUUCUUCUUUCUCGAUGGAUCUGGACCAGAGAAGAGCUUUGAGAGCACCGACGUUUUGCUAUGCCUCUCAACUGAAGCUACCUUCUUCCUCCUCCACCGAAGCCAACAACGUCGUUCGUGUAGCCGCCGUUGAAGCUCUGCUUGUUUGCUCACCUCAGCUGUGAUUUUUUUUUAAGUUCUUGUUGUUCGUCCAUCCCCUCUGCUGCUGAUUCAAGAAUGAAAAGUUUUUCUUUCUCUUAGCUCCUGGUUCGCGUGGGUAUAAAAGAUUUGGUUUUCUUCACUGUUCAUCAUCGUUCUCUUUCCUCUGUCUGUGCGUGUUGAUUCAUUGGAGGGUGUGUGGAAGAACAAGACCCUGAAAAGACUUAAAAGAAGAAUACUUUCAGGAGUUAGAACUUCAACAGAUUGGUUAGCUGAUGCCAAUUCCACCAACGACCUCAAAAAUGGCAACUAGCUACAGUGGGUGGAUCUUUUUAAUUGGUAUUGCCACUUUAAUGUAAAUAUAUAAAUUGUAUGUCUUUUUGAAUUGAAAGAAAGAGUAGAUGCUCCACAUAGGUUGUUGAUGAAUCUUAUUUUUGCCUGUAUAUUGGUUGCUGGCUGGAAGGAGCUAUGCUCCUGACUUAUACUGUUAGUUGUAAAAAUUUUUGUUGUAAAAUUUUCGGAAGAUCUUAGUUACAGGGGAGGUUCUGCCAAAAUUUUUACAAAUAUGUCGACGCUUUCUUAUGAAAAAUGAAAAAAAAUGAAAUGAAAUAAAUGUUCAUUUGGA